UACGUAGGUCCCGAGCGUUGUCCGGAUGUAUUGGGCGUAAAGCGAGCGCAGGUGGUUUAAUAAGUCUGAUGUAAAAGGCAGUGGCUCAACCAUUGUGUGCAUUGGAAACUGUUAGACUUGAGUGCAGUAGAGGAGAGUGGAAUUCCAUGUGUAGCGGUGAAAUGCGUAGAUAUAUGGAGGAACACCGGUGGCGAAAGCGGCUCUCUGGACUGUAACUGACACUGAGGCUCGAAAGCGUGGGGAGCAAACAGG
This 252-nucleotide ribosomal RNA is filed under the name uncultured microorganism. RNAcentral describes it as "partial 16S ribosomal RNA". It matches the Rfam family "Bacterial small subunit ribosomal RNA", at positions 524 to 776 of the family's 1533-position model. The record is from RNAcentral.